Molecule: long non-coding RNA, 1883 nt
Organism: Stegostoma tigrinum
Lineage: Eukaryota; Metazoa; Chordata; Chondrichthyes; Orectolobiformes; Stegostomatidae
Exons: 4
Source: RefSeq, a predicted model, not a curated record
CUAGACCCUACAAUGAAGUCUGGCAGGACUCCGGGACUUGUCAAUCUGCAACUCCAUUGGUUUUCUCAGCACUACUUCCCUAAAGAUUGGCGUCAUUGGCGAGGCAGCAUUUAUUGCCCGGAGGACAGUUCAGAGUCAAUCACGUUGCUGUGGGUCUGGAGUCACGUGUAAGCCAGACUAGUACUCUCCAAAAUCUCCGUUAAAUGGAGAAUUUCAGAAGAUUCCACAUGUAAAGAAAUUGUCAGCGGAAAAUUCAAGUUCUUUCAACAUACAGCUCCUAUAAUUUUCGAGAAGCUCAACAACAUCCAGAUCAAAGGACCCCACUUGACUGGCAUCCAUCCACUUUCUUCAACAUUCAAUCCGUUCACUGCCAAUGCCACGUGGCAAUAACAUGUACCAUCUAUAAGAAGCACUGCAGUAACUCGCCAAGGCUUCUUCAAUAACAUCUUCAAACCACAACCUUUGCUACUUAGAGGGGUGGAAGCUGUAUGGGAAUGGCGACACCUACUUCCAAGUCACACUUGGAACUGACUUGGAACUGACUUGGCUUUUCCUUCACUAUUACUCCUUGCACUAUCUACGGUCGAGAUUAGAUUAGAUUCCCUACAGUGUGGUAAUUGGCCCUUUGGUCCAACAAGUCCACACCGCCCCUUGAGGCAUCCCACCCAGACCCAUCCCCCUAUAACCCACACACCCCUGAACACUAUGGACAAUUUAGCAUGGCCAAUUCACCUAUCCUGCACAUCUUUGGGCUGUGGGAGGAAACCGGAGCACCCGGAGGAAACCCACACAGACACAGGGAGAAUGUGCAAACUCCACACAGACAGUCGCCUGAGGCGGGAAUCGAACCCAGGUCCCUGGCACUGUGAGACUGCAGUGCUAACCACUGAGCCACCAUGCCACCCAAAGGUCACAGUGCUGUGUGUCAGGCCUGUAUUCAGGCAGAGAACUGAAUAAGGUGAAAAUUCAAACAAUGUAACUUACUUAUGAUGAUAUUAAAAAUAAAGGAAUUAUAUUAUGUUGCACUAUAUAAAUCAAACAAGUUAUUAUUAUUAAAUUAUGCACAUUAGUGCUGUAUUAAACACUCAAUAUAUAGGUGGUUACCAAAUUUGGGUUUUCAUCACUAUUUAUUACAUGAAGAAUUGCCCAACUCUAAACUGCUAACAGUCUUUCCUGUGAAAACGAAAAUGUGUAGAUAACAUGGAUAAGGAUAGGGAACAACGAAUCCAAUGAAGCUGCGGUCAUUUUGAAUAAUUAUACAAACCUGACCAAUCCGACAAAAAAAAGUUCAUUUAAGCAACAAUAUUGGAAUGAAUAAUCACUGGUGAUAGAACAAUAUAGUUGCCUGUCAUCACCAACAUGCCAGAGGCCAAAGGCAUAAUAUUCUAGACACUUAGAAUAAGAGUAGGAUGUCAGCUUAGCUGAGUGUUGUUUUACUGAGCUAUGAAGAGGGAGGAAACAAUCCUUACACAGUGAAUGGUAUGUAACUACCUAAGCCAUCAUAUUCGGCUAAGAAAGGCUAUAAAGUUACUCACCUGCCAGAACAUGAGAGAUAUUUCCUACCUGCAAGGAGUAAAUUGCAUGCUUGGAAUACUUGACUAGCCACAGAGAUCUGACUAUUGAUAUGUUGACAUUUAACAAACACAAACAGACUAAUUCUAAUUGGGAUUACAUCAUUUGCAAGUGAGCACAUUGAAAUGACCCUUUUCUAAUCAUUGAAAUGUUUUCAUUCCACCUUGUACACAUAAUAUUCCCUGACCUACAAAAUUUAUGUGUUAAAUUUACUCAACUGUGCUUUGCUGUGACAUACACUAUUGUUUUCUACAUGGUAGAACCUCUAUUUCUACUACGCGUCAGUGCAUUCUCUUUAUGAUGGCACAUUA